RNAcentral lists this ribosomal RNA (358 nucleotides) under Haptophyta environmental samples. RNAcentral's name for it is "SSU rRNA". It matches the Rfam family "Eukaryotic small subunit ribosomal RNA", at positions 595 to 957 of the family's 1831-position model. Lineage: Eukaryota; Haptophyta. The record is from RNAcentral.
UAGCGUAUAUUAAAGUUGUUGCAGUUAGAACGCUCGUAGUCGGAUUUCGGGGCGGUCCGACCGGUCUGCCGAUGGGUACGCACUGGUCGGCGCGUCCUUCCUUCCGGAGACCGUGCCUACUCUUAACUGAGCGGGGGCGGGAGACGGAACGUUUACUUUGAAAAAAUCAGAGUGUUUCAAGCAGGCAGCUCGCUCUUGCAUGGAUUAGCAUGGGAUAAUGAAAUAGGACUUUGGUGCUAUUUUGUUGGUUUCGAACACCGAAGUAAUGAUGAGAAGGGACAGUCAGGGGCACUCGUAUUCCGCCGAGAGAGGUGAAAUUCUCAGACCAGCGGAAGACGAACCACUGCGAAAGCAUUUG